GACGAACGCUGGCGGCGUGCUUAACACAUGCAAGUCGAACGAAGUGGCGAACGGGUGAGUAACGCGUAAUCAACCUGCCCUUCAGAGGGGGACAACAGUUGGAAACGACGGCUAAUACCGCAAACUGAAGGAGGGGAUUGCGUCUGAUUGGCUAGUUGGGGGGGUAACGGCCCACCAAGGCGAUGAUCAGUAGCCGGUCUGGGGGGGUGAACGGCCACAUUGGGACUGGGAACCGGCCCAGACUCCUCCGGGAGGCAGCAGUGGGGAAUCUUCCGCCAUGGACGACAGUCUGACGGAGCAACGCCGCGUGAGUGAUGACGGCCUUCGGGUUGUAAAGCUCUGUUAAUCGGGACGCGGUACCGGAAUAGAAAGCCACGGCUAACUACGUGCCAGCAGCCGCGGUAAUUC
Molecule: ribosomal RNA, 408 nt
Filed under: uncultured bacterium
Lineage: Bacteria
Description: partial 16S ribosomal RNA
Rfam family: Bacterial small subunit ribosomal RNA
Source: RNAcentral